CACAGCUUCAGGGUCGUCUGCGUUGACAUGGAAUAUGGGAGCGUUGACCACUCUGGCGACGUCGGUGGGAUAAGGUGAUGAGCGGGCCAUACGAGGGUCAGUGGUGAAGCCAAUCUAAAGAGGGCGGGGUUCAGGCACAUCUUGUCUGCCUCAAAGAUUUGGUGACAGCACAACCUAAUGAUCAAAAGUUAUACAACAAGGUCUCUGGUUCACCUCAUCAGCAGCUUCCAGCUUCGAAUCGAACUGGCAGAAGAUCUGCUCCAGCUCCUUACGGAUCACAUUAGCAAGAACAUUCAGACGGCCUCUGA
Molecule: long non-coding RNA, 308 nt
Organism: Triplophysa dalaica
Lineage: Eukaryota; Metazoa; Chordata; Actinopteri; Cypriniformes; Nemacheilidae
Exons: 3
Source: RefSeq, a predicted model, not a curated record